UAACAGUUGGAAACGACUGCUAAGACUGGAUAGGAAGUUUUAAGGCAUCUUGAAACUUUUAAAAGACCCGCAAGGGUAUGCUAAGAGAUGGGCUUGCGGCACAUUAGUUAGUUGGUAAGGUAACGGCUUACCAAGACUAUGAUGUGUAGCUGGACUGAGAGGUUGAACGGCCACAUUGGGAUUGAGAUACGGCCCAAACUCCUACGGGAGGCAGCAGUAAGGAAUUUUCGGCAAUGGAGGAAACUCUGACCGAGCAACGCCGCGUGAACGAUGAAAUAUUUAGGUAUGUAAAGUUCUUUUAUUAAAGAAGAAAAAAUGAUGGAAAAUUCAUUCUGACGGUAUUUAAUGAAUAAGCCCCGGCUAACUAUGUGCCACCAGCUGCGGUUAUACAUGGGGGGCAAGCGUUAUCCGGAUUUAUUGGGCGUAAAGGGUGUGUAGGCGGUUUAAUAAGUCUAUGGUAUAAGUUCAACGCUUAACGUUGUGAUGCUAUGGAAACUGUUUGACUAGAGUUGGAUAGAGGCAAGUGGAAUUCCAUGUGUAGCGGUAAAAUGCGUAAAUAUAUGGAGGAACACCAGUAGCGAAGGCGGCUUGCUGGGUCUUAACUGACGCUGAGGCACGAAAGCGUGGGGAGCAAACAGGAUUAGAUACCCUGGUAGUCCACGCCGUAAACGAUGAGUACUAAGUGUUGGGUUAAACCAGUGCUGAAGUUAACACAUUAAGUACUCCGCCUGAGUAGUACGUACGCAAGUAUGAAACUUAAAGGAAUUGACGGGACUCCGCACAAGCGGUGGAUCAUGUUGUUUAAUUCGAAGAUACACGAAAAACCUUACCAGGUCUUGACAUACUCUGCAAAGCUAUAGAAAUAUAGUGGAGGUUAUCAGGGAUACAGGUGGUGCAUGGUUGUCGUCAGCUCGUGUCGUGAGAUGUUGGGUUAAGUCCCGCAACGAGCGCAACCC
This 956-nucleotide ribosomal RNA is filed under the name Candidatus Phytoplasma mali. RNAcentral's name for it is "bacterial SSU rRNA". It matches the Rfam family "Bacterial small subunit ribosomal RNA", at positions 144 to 1104 of the family's 1533-position model. The record is from RNAcentral. Lineage: Bacteria; Bacillati; Mycoplasmatota; Mollicutes; Acholeplasmatales; Acholeplasmataceae.